ACGUCUUUUUACACACCCCAAACGUAUGAUGCAGAAUGUAGUCAAUGGGCCUUUAAAAGCCUAUAAAACACUAUACAACUUUCAGCAACGGAUCUCUUGGCUCUCGCAUCGAUGAAGAACGCAGCGAAAUGCGAUAAGUAAUGUGAAUUGCAGAAUUCAGUGAAUCAUCGAAUCUUUGAACGCACCUUGCGC
This 192-nucleotide ribosomal RNA is filed under the name Coprinellus sp. MA-1. Its description in RNAcentral is "5.8S ribosomal RNA". The stretch from base 77 to 192 matches the Rfam family "5.8S ribosomal RNA", at positions 1 to 116 of the family's 154-position model. Rfam says of the family: 5.8S ribosomal RNA (5.8S rRNA) is a component of the large subunit of the eukaryotic ribosome. The record is from RNAcentral. Lineage: Eukaryota; Fungi; Basidiomycota; Agaricomycetes; Agaricales; Psathyrellaceae.